Molecule: ribosomal RNA, 498 nt
Filed under: uncultured bacterium
Lineage: Bacteria
Description: partial 16S ribosomal RNA
Rfam family: Bacterial small subunit ribosomal RNA
Source: RNAcentral
AUUGAACGCUGGCGGCAUGCCUUACACAUGCAAGUCGAACGGUAACAGGUCUUCGGACGCUGACGAGUGGCGAACGGGUGAGUAAUACAUCGGAACGUGCCCAGUCGUGGGGGAUAACUACUCGAAAGAGUAGCUAAUACCGCAUACGAUCUGAGGAUGAAAGCGGGGGACCUUCGGGCCUCGCGCGAUUGGAGCGGCCGAUGGCAGAUUAGGUAGUUGGUGGGAUAAAAGCUUACCAAGCCGACGAUCUGUAGCUGGUCUGAGAGGACGACCAGCCACACUGGGACUGAGACACGGCCCAGACUCCUACGGGAGGCAGCAGUGGGGAAUUUUGGACAAUGGGCGAAAGCCUGAUCCAGCAAUGCCGCGUGCAGGAUGAAGGCCUUCGGGUUGUAAACUGCUUUUGUACGGAACGAAAAAGCUUCUCCUAAUACGAGAGGCCCAUGACGGUACCGUAAGAAUAAGCACCGGCUAACUACGUGCCAGCAGCCGCCGUAA